RNAcentral lists this unclassified non-coding RNA (280 nucleotides) under Hevea brasiliensis (rubber tree). The record is from RNAcentral. Lineage: Eukaryota; Viridiplantae; Streptophyta; Magnoliopsida; Malpighiales; Euphorbiaceae.
CGGGGCUGCUAUUCUUGACAAUUUAGUAAAAAAUCAUGGUUAGGUCAGGAAAGUAAAUUACAAAUCUGUGCUCAUUCUUCUAACAAAGGGGACAAAAUUAUUCCAGUUUUCAACAGCAAAAAUUUUAUCAUUCAAUCUGAAAUAAGUAAAUGACCUUACAGCCUCUGCCUGUGGAUGAUAGCAGUUCGCAAGUAUUUGCCUUAGUCCUUUCUGAUCAAACCGUUCACUAGUAUUUCUUCCAAUCAGAUUUAUCCUUUUCUUUGAAAUGGUUCUUAUCUGC